UACGUAGGUGGCGAGCGUUAUCCGGAAUUAUUGGGCGUAAAGCGCGCGCAGGCGGUUUCUUAAGUCUGAUGUGAAAGCCCACGGCUCAACCGUGGAGGGUCAUUGGAAACUGGGAGACUUGAGUGCAGAAGAGAAGAGUGGAAUUCCACGUGUAGCGGUGAAAUGCGUAGAGAUGUGGAGGAACACCAGUGGCGAAGGCGACUCUUUGGUCUGUAACUGACGCUGAGGCGCGAAGGCGUGGGGAGCAAACAGG
Molecule: ribosomal RNA, 253 nt
Filed under: uncultured bacterium
Lineage: Bacteria
Description: partial 16S ribosomal RNA
Rfam family: Bacterial small subunit ribosomal RNA
Source: RNAcentral